UGCCCGUCUUCCCUGCGACGGUUUUGGGGUGGAACAGGAGUGGCUCCUCAGGGGGAAAUGAAAGGAACUGAGGAGCUCCAGUCGUGAGAAGGCCAAUGAAGCAGCCUGAGGGACAGGAGGAAGACAAGAGAACCCAAGGAAUGCACUUCCUGAAUUGAUGGGAGGCCCUGGAUCCAGAGCGGGUGGGAACACAUCUGGAAGGAAGACAGAGGGAAUGAAGCAAAAAUGGGCAAAGGCACCGCCAGUUGGGAAAUGGACCUCCUUGGAUGCUGCAUUGUUUUCUCUGGCCCAGCUCCUGCUUGGGGCCUGAUGUACACCCUGGAUGGUGGCUACAGGUGGGGCACCCUGUGCUGGUGAGUACAGGCUGCUGUGGAGCCCAGAAGCCCCAGGGGACGGCUGGGCUGGGCUGGCUGCCCCAGUUAAAGAGACGUGGCCCCUGGGUCCCAUCCUUUGAGGCAGAAGUACCGCUCCAUCUACUUCCAGGCCUUAUGGGGAGACCUUUUGUAUCUGGACCCAAACAGUAAGAAAGUGCCACAACGCAGAUGAUUUCUGCGUGCUCGGUGAUGAGAAAUGUUUUCUCAGUGGCAUCUGUGAAAGGUGCUGCUGUAUCUUCCGAAUUGUCAAAAUCACACUCUGCUUUGAAAAACAACCCUGACCACCUGGGGGUUAAUUAUAUUUGACCACAUUCAAUACAAUACAAUAAUAAAUU
Molecule: long non-coding RNA, 709 nt
Filed under: Homo sapiens (human)
Lineage: Eukaryota; Metazoa; Chordata; Mammalia; Primates; Hominidae
Description: HSALNT0305813
Source: RNAcentral